This 489-nucleotide ribosomal RNA is filed under the name uncultured bacterium. RNAcentral's name for it is "bacterial SSU rRNA". It matches the Rfam family "Bacterial small subunit ribosomal RNA", at positions 28 to 507 of the family's 1533-position model. The record is from RNAcentral.
GAUGAACGCUAGCGAUAGGCCUAACACAUGCAAGUCGAGGGGCAUCACAUGAAGUAGCAAUACGGAUGGUGGCGACCGGCGCACGGGUGAGUAACACGUAUGCAACCUGCCUUCAACAAGGGGAUAACCCGUUGAAAGACGGACUAAUACCCUAUAACACAGGGGUCCCGCAUGGGAAUAUUUGUUAAAGGACAACCGGUUGAAGAUGGGCAUGCGUUCCAUUAGCUAGUUGGCGGGGUAACGGCCCACCAAGGCAACGAUGGAUAGGGGAACUGAGAGGUUUAUCCCCCACACUGGUACUGAGACACGGACCACGACUCCUACGGGAGGCAGCAGUGAGGAAUAUUGGUCAAUGGACGCAAGUCUGAACCAGCCACGUCGCGUGAAGGAAGACGGCCCUACGGUUGUAAACUUCUUUUAUACGGGAAUAAAUGCCCCACGCGUGGGGUUUUGCAUGUACCGUAUGAAUAAGGAUCGGCUAACUCCGUG